AUGAUGGGAGUUGCCGGAGUAUUAGGUGCGGCUUUGCUAUGCGCUAUUAAUGGAGCGACCGUAGAAAACACUCUAUUUGAGGACGGUGGUGGUGCAAAUAACUUCCGUGCUUUUAACCCAACUCAAGCUGAAGAAACUUAUUCAAUGGUCACUGCUAACCGCUUUUGGUCCCAAAUCUUUGAUGCUCCUUUUUCCAAUAAACGCUGGUUACAUUUCUUUAUGCUAUUUGUACCCGUCACCGGUUAA
Molecule: ribosomal RNA, 246 nt
Filed under: Triticum aestivum (bread wheat)
Lineage: Eukaryota; Viridiplantae; Streptophyta; Magnoliopsida; Poales; Poaceae
Description: partial small subunit ribosomal RNA
Source: RNAcentral